GUCUAAGUAUAAGCACUUGUACUGUGAAACUGCGAAUGGCUCAUUAAAUCAGUUAUCGUUUAUUUGAUUGUACCUUUACUACUUGGAUAACCGUGGUAAUUCUAGAGCUAAUACAUGCGAAAAGUCCCGACUUCUGGAAGGGAUGUAUUUAUUAGAUUCAAAACCAAUGCGGGUUCUGUCCGGACUGUAGUUACUUCUAAUUUCCAAUUGAGUGGCGCGAUAGCUCAGUGGUACGGGCUUCGCUUCUCAAACAAGAGGGCCGGGGUUCGGAUCCAGGUCAGAUCAACUUAAGAAUUUUUCAGGGGUGUAAAGUUGAG
RNAcentral lists this non-coding RNA (317 nucleotides) under Nematostella vectensis (starlet sea anemone). RNAcentral describes it as "Eukaryotic small subunit ribosomal RNA". It matches the Rfam family "Eukaryotic small subunit ribosomal RNA", at positions 57 to 281 of the family's 1831-position model. The record is from Rfam by way of RNAcentral. Lineage: Eukaryota; Metazoa; Cnidaria; Anthozoa; Actiniaria; Edwardsiidae.